AGCGAACGCUGGCGGCAGGCUUAACACAUGCAAGUCGAACGGUAAGGCCCUUCGGGGUACACGAGUGGCGAACGGGUGAGUAACACGUGGGUGAUCUGCCCUGCACUUCGGGAUAAGCCUGGGAAACUGGGUCUAAUACCGGAUAGGACUCCUGGCUUCAUGGUUGGGGGUGGAAAGCUUUUGCGGUGUGGGAUGGGCCCGCGGCCUAUCAGCUUGUUUGUGGGGUAAGGGCCUACCAAGGCGACGACGGGUUGCCGGACUGAGCGGGUGAACGGUCAGACUGGGACUGAGAUACGGCCCAGACUCCUACGGGAGGGAGCAGUGGGGAAUAUUGCACAAUGGGCGCAAGCCUGAUGCAGCGACGACGCGUGAGGGAUGACGGCCUUCGGGUUGUAAACCUCUUUCAGCUAUGACGAAGCGCAAGUGACGGUAGUAGCAGAAGAAGGACCGGCCAACUACGUGCCAGCCGCCGCAGUAA
This 478-nucleotide ribosomal RNA is filed under the name uncultured bacterium. Its description in RNAcentral is "partial 16S ribosomal RNA". It matches the Rfam family "Bacterial small subunit ribosomal RNA", at positions 30 to 523 of the family's 1533-position model. The record is from RNAcentral.